Molecule: non-coding RNA, 206 nt
Organism: Oryza nivara
Lineage: Eukaryota; Viridiplantae; Streptophyta; Magnoliopsida; Poales; Poaceae
Source: Rfam
AAAAAGGCAAACCCUGGGUUUCCGUGUCCAACGUUUGACCGUCCGUCUUAUUUGAAAAGUAUAAAAAAAAUUAAAAAGAUAAGUCACACAUAAAUUAUUAAUCAUGUUUUAUCAUCUAACAAUAAUGAAAAUACUAAUUAUAAAAAAAAAUUCAUAUAAGACGGACAGUCAAAUGUUAGACACGGAAAUCCUGUUUUGUCUUUUUU